This is a long non-coding RNA of Salmo salar (Atlantic salmon), 529 nucleotides long. RefSeq lists it as uncharacterized. NCBI's taxonomy places the organism in Eukaryota, Metazoa, Chordata, Actinopteri, Salmoniformes, Salmonidae. The record is from RefSeq and is a predicted model, not a curated record.
UACAGUGUUACGCACUUCCUGUGGUUCCAGCCGGUCGCAGUCAGAGCAGCGUUACGGGGAUACAAUUUAAACACACAGACAGACUGAGGAGACAACAUGCCCCAAGACAACUGACCUGACUGAGCCAGCGCCUAUAAGACUUAUUCCCGGCGGCAGCAUCUCACUCUGCUUGGCUGUUCUGUUCUGACCAGGCAAGACUGGGACACAAAGAUGAACAUUGUAGGGGUGCGCUGUGCUCUGCUCGUAGGAGGGCUGACCAGCUGCAUGACCACAGUGGUUGACUUCACUUCAAUGGCCGCCAUACAUAUCAACAGAAGACACUGGGAAUCAUUCAGCCUGCAUAGAUAAAUAAAUGCCACUCAUGCAUCCACCCUGAUCCAUCACUCAAUAGCAUCAGCAAUAGCACACACAAAUGUUUGAAGUAACGCGAGGAGAUAUUACUGAAGUUGGGGUUGGUCUGAAUUUGUCUAUCGCGCAAAUGUCUUCUUGGCCUCUUGUUGAGGUAAUAAAGCACAAACUUACUUCUGUA